Molecule: ribosomal RNA, 492 nt
Filed under: uncultured bacterium
Lineage: Bacteria
Description: partial 16S ribosomal RNA
Rfam family: Bacterial small subunit ribosomal RNA
Source: RNAcentral
AGUGAACGCUGGCGGUAGGCCUAACACAUGCAAGUCGAACGGCAGCACAGUAAGAGCUUGCUCUUACGGGUGGCGAGUGGCGGACGGGUGAGGAAUACAUCGGAAUCUACUUUUUCGUGGGGGAUAACGUAGGGAAACUUACGCUAAUACCGCAUACGACCUACGGGUGAAAGCAGGGGAUAUUCGGAGCUUGCGCGAAUGGAUGAGCCGAUGUCGGAUUAGCUAGUUGGCGGGGUAAUGGCCCACCAAGGCGAGGAUCCGUAGCUGGUCUGAGAGGAUGAUCAGCCACACUGGAACUGAGACACGGUCCAGACUCCUACGGGAGGCAGCAGUGGGGAAUAUUGGACAAUGGGCGCAAGCCUGAUCCAGCCAUACCGCGUGUGUGAAGAAGGCCUUCGGGUUGUAAAGCCCUUUUGUUGGGAAAGAAAAGCAGCAGGUUAAUACCCCGCUGUUCUGACGGUACCCAAAGAAUAAGCACCGGCUAACUUCGUG